Molecule: ribosomal RNA, 489 nt
Filed under: Hydaropsis longirostris
Lineage: Eukaryota; Metazoa; Arthropoda; Insecta; Hemiptera; Coreidae
Description: partial small subunit ribosomal RNA
Source: RNAcentral
AUUUUUGUGAUAUUAUAAUUUAAGAUUGAUUCUGUCUUUUUUAUUGGGUUGGCUAUGAAAUUUGAUAAUGUUAUAUAUAAAUCUUUGUGUGAUUUUAGUUUUGUCUAAAUGAUAAAAUUUAAAUUUAUUUGUAGUUUCUAAUAUUAAAUAUUUUUGAAAAAUAGAUUUAGUUAAUUAUUUCUAGGAUUGUAAAAGGUUGUGCCAGCAUACGCGGUUAUACAAUUUAUUCAAGUUAAUUAUAUCGGUUAUUUAUUAAUUUUGUUUAUUUUAAAUUUAUAUAUUUGUUUUUAAGUGAAAUUUUAAUUUUUAUUAUAUGUUUUUGGUUAAAUAUUAUAAGAAAUUUAGAUUUAUAAACUAGGAUUAGAUACCCUAUUAUUCUAAAUGUAAAUUAUAUCCUUGAUAUUAAUAGUUAUGAUCUUUAAAUUAAAAGAAUUUGGCGGUAAUUUAGUCUUUUCAGAGGAACCUGUUUUUUAAUCGAUAAUCCACGAU